UACGGAGGAGGCAAGCGUUAUCCGGAAUUAUUGGGCGUAAGGCGUCCGUAGGUGGCUAGUCAAGUCUGCGGUCAAAGACUGGGGCUUAACCCUGGAAAGGCCGUGGAAACUGACGAGCUAGAGUGCAGUAGGGGUAGAGGGAAUUCCCGGUGUAGCGGUGAAAUGCGUAGAGCUCGGGAAGAACAUCGGUGGCGAAAGCGCUCUACUGGACUGCAACUGACACUCAGGGACGAAAGCUAGGGGAGCGAAUGGG
Molecule: ribosomal RNA, 253 nt
Filed under: uncultured bacterium
Lineage: Bacteria
Description: partial 16S ribosomal RNA
Rfam family: Bacterial small subunit ribosomal RNA
Source: RNAcentral